GCAGUGUCGCGCGUCGUGACGCCGCAUCGUCAUCACGUUGCUCGUGUGGAGGAGUCGCGGGCGUCGUAAAGCAAUCGUAAAUCGCGAUGGAUGAUAUACAAGGUGUCUUAUACAUUAUGGUCCAAAAUGGGGAAGUGACAAAAGAGACACCGACGCCAUUUUAUAUCACAAACAAACAGCACUUGGAUCCAAGUAAGUUGGGUACUGUCCUACUCAACUUGGAUGUAACCUACUGAUCCAAGCGCACUUGGAUGAACUGUUGACACGAUCAAAGUAACGUCCAAGUGCUGCUCGCGGACAAUCCAAGUAUACUUGGAUCGUGUCAACCCGGCUUUAGCAACUCUAAGAAGCUGUGUUGAUCAACAUGACCCUCAAAGAAGUGAGGACCAAUCAAGUAACCACUUACAAUCCCACAACAGACCAUAAGGCUUCAGCGAUCUUGAUGAUCUACUUGUCUCUGCCAGUAAGGAUUUGCAUUUUAACCAAUAAUGCCAAUUAUGUCUAUUAAGUAGUCCGCCACUUCUAAAUAUUGCUUUAAUGUAUUGUGAUUUAAAAAAAUUAAAAUAUCUCACUCUAUUACUGUUAUAUAUUAUUCGAAUGUAAAAUAAAUUUAGUAUUUCGCAUAUACAAGAUUGCCAAAUGAUCCUUUUUACGGCUUAAACAUAACCAGGAUUAAGAAAAUACGGAAAUUAGACAAUUGCCUGCAAGACCAUUGACAAAAUUCAAGGCGCGCUUGCAUAUGGGUCACCUGGAAUGCUAAAACUAAAGUAAUGCAAUGUUAAAAUACAAUGUUAAAUUGUACACGAGUUUUGCAGACGGUAGCAGGCUGGGCGUUCGUAGCUAAGGAUUCAAUAUAAGUCACAGUUUGUA
RNAcentral lists this unclassified non-coding RNA (870 nucleotides) under Anthonomus grandis grandis. RNAcentral describes it as "uncharacterized LOC126750338". The record is from RNAcentral. Lineage: Eukaryota; Metazoa; Arthropoda; Insecta; Coleoptera; Curculionidae.